UACGUAGGGGGCGAGCGUUGUCCGAAGUUACUGGGCGUAAAGCGCACGUAGGCGGAUGUGCCAGUCAGGGGUGAAAUCCCGGAGCUCAACUUCGGAACUGCCUCUGAUACAGCACGUCUUGAGUCCGGAAGAGGUGGGUGGAAUUCCUAGUGUAGAGGUGAAAUUCGUAGAUAUUAGGAAGAACACCGGUGGCGAAGGCGGCCCACUGGUCCGGUACUGACGCUGAGGUGCGAAAGCGUGGGGAGCAAACAGG
RNAcentral lists this ribosomal RNA (253 nucleotides) under uncultured bacterium. Its description in RNAcentral is "partial 16S ribosomal RNA". It matches the Rfam family "Bacterial small subunit ribosomal RNA", at positions 524 to 776 of the family's 1533-position model. The record is from RNAcentral.